Schistosoma rodhaini is the source of this 44-nucleotide non-coding RNA. NCBI's taxonomy places the organism in Eukaryota, Metazoa, Platyhelminthes, Trematoda, Strigeidida, Schistosomatidae. The record is from Rfam.
AUCCAGCUGACGAUUCCCAAAUAGGACGAACCCGCGUCCUGGAU